Long non-coding RNA from Coturnix japonica (Japanese quail), 499 nucleotides. The record is from Ensembl. NCBI's taxonomy places the organism in Eukaryota, Metazoa, Chordata, Aves, Galliformes, Phasianidae.
AUGUCAGUGGGUGACAUUUUUUCCACAUAGAGGAAUUCAGUGACAUAACUUCCAUGUCAGACAUCAUUUUCUUAGACUGCCCCUCUGCUGCCAUCUGUCAAACAGCAAAAAGAUGUGAUGGAAUAUUGGACCCUGUUUGUGUGAAAGUAACAAACCAUGCUGGAUUGGUGGCAGCAGCUGAAGUUCUUAUUGAGAUCUGAAGGUGAUGUCAGAAGGCAAAGGACAGAUGUUGAAAUCUCUGGAAAUGGUUGUCUGUGCCCUGCUUUCAUGGGCUGCACUGAAGAGGCUGUGUCCCCUUGAUGUUCUCAGGACUCUAAUAAAUGAUGACCCUGAACAUGGUGAAUAUUUGCUUCCUGCUCGUUCUUGAAAGGUGAGUGAAAAGAAUGAUAAAUGAGAUGGCCUACUGCUCUUGCUGUUUCCUUCUGUCUGUAAUACUUCACUUCCUCAUACAGCUGUUCAGCAGCUGAUGGAAAAGUCCUGUUCCAUGCAAUCAGAAAGA